This 253-nucleotide ribosomal RNA is filed under the name uncultured bacterium. Its description in RNAcentral is "partial 16S ribosomal RNA". It matches the Rfam family "Bacterial small subunit ribosomal RNA", at positions 524 to 776 of the family's 1533-position model. The record is from RNAcentral.
UACGAAGGGGGCUAGCGUUGCUCGGAAUCACUGGGCGUAAAGGGAGCGUAGGUGGACUGUUUAGUCAGAGGUGAAAGCCCAGGGCUCAACCUUGGAAUUGCCUUUGAUACUGGCAGUCUUGAGUACGGAAGAGGUAUGUGGAACUCCGAGUGUAGAGGUGAAAUUCGUAGAUAUUCGGAAGAACACCAGUGGCGAAGGCGACAUACUGGUCCGUUACUGACACUGAGGCUCGAAAGCGUGGGGAGCAAACAGG